CCGCUCCGAUGAGAUCAGAUUUGUGUCACGUGUCCGGGCCAACGAUGAUCGCUGAUGGCAUCCAGGAACUGUGUAU
This is a small nucleolar RNA of Ictalurus furcatus (blue catfish), 76 nucleotides long. RefSeq annotates it as small nucleolar RNA SNORD66. The transcript has a single exon. The record is from RefSeq and is a predicted model, not a curated record. NCBI's taxonomy places the organism in Eukaryota, Metazoa, Chordata, Actinopteri, Siluriformes, Ictaluridae.